This 106-nucleotide non-coding RNA is filed under the name Rummeliibacillus stabekisii. RNAcentral's name for it is "SAM-I sequence". It matches the Rfam family "SAM riboswitch aptamer (S box leader)". Rfam says of the family: The SAM riboswitch is found upstream of a number of genes which code for proteins involved in methionine or cysteine biosynthesis in Gram-positive bacteria. The SAM riboswitch acts at the level of transcription termination control. The record is from Rfam by way of RNAcentral. Lineage: Bacteria; Bacillati; Bacillota; Bacilli; Caryophanales; Caryophanaceae.
CUCUUAUUAAGAGAGGUGGAGGGAAGUGCCCUAUGAAGCCCGGCAACCGUCACAGUUUGUGAUAUGGUGCCAAUUCACACAAAGUGUAAACUUUGGAAGAUGAGAG